Molecule: long non-coding RNA, 990 nt
Organism: Piliocolobus tephrosceles (Ugandan red Colobus)
Lineage: Eukaryota; Metazoa; Chordata; Mammalia; Primates; Cercopithecidae
Exons: 4
Source: RefSeq, a predicted model, not a curated record
CGACUUACCAGUAGCGGGACAAAUUACAACUCUGAGUCUUGAUUUCCUUAUUUGCAAAUGGGGUAAUUAUAGUUACCUUGCAGGGAUGCUGUGAGGUUGAAAUGAGAGAACACAUGUGAAGGACUUAUUCCCGUGCCAGCUGGUUGGACAAGCAACUGAAGGACAGGAACAGAAGUGAAUGAAAACAGAAGACGCUGUGUUUGUGUUUUCUCUUGGUUAGAAUGCUGUGAGUCAGGACCUCAGUUGCUGGGUAUCCUGCGACUGCCUUCGGAAAUUGAUUGCCUCUUCAUUUCACAACACAUCACAUGGAUCCUCUACACUGGUGGACCGGGAAAUCACAACUACUUUAGACACCUUGUUCUUGGCUCUUUGCUGGGUCCUGGUAUUUGACCAUGGACCAUUAAGUUAUCGUGUGACCAGAAAUGCCCCCUAUGAAGUGAAUAUUGCUUAACCACCACCACGUUCUAUUGGUUAUAAUCAAGUCACAGAGCCAGUCCAGAUCAAGGGGAAGGAAUUAUGCAAAAUUCCGAAUACUGAGAGACGUAGUUCAUUGGAAGACCACCUUUGGAAACCAGCAGCUAUCACAGUUGCCUUGGAUAUUUUCUGAACAGAGAGAUUCUUACAUUAAUAACUGUUCUCUUUGCCAAUAAAUAUUUAUGAAGAACCCACAGUAUGUGCAGAACCUGAACAUAAGCAGAAGAAACAGGGAAAGCAUUGCACCUUCCUCAAAGUUUGUGCAUUCUACCAUGAAAUAUUCACAUUAACACUGAAGCUAAGAGUAGGCUGGAAAUCCCAGAAGUGAGAAUUAAUGUACUGGUACUGAUGGUCAAUGUGUGUAUUAUAGCUCUCUGUGGUGAAAUAAAUAGAUUGAUAAUGGGCUUCUGUAUAUAGUUGUAUCAACAAUAAAAUGAUGGAAUGCUUUCUAGCUCAAGAUUUUUACAACCCAAUGAUCUUUAAUCUGGUAACUCAUUCCUCAUAAGACUCAUUCCU